GCGCAUAUGGUUUCAGGAGGAGCAAAGCUAGACUCAGAUCUCUCGGUCUGCUGUCCAGGCGACUAGCUACACACGGUAGCUGUCAAUCGGUCCAUCCAUGAGUGACCCUCUCCAACAUGAAAGAACAACGCCCAGACAAGAACAAGAUUAGGCCCCUCAGACGGACGAAACAUCCUCUCUGUUCCCUUCCAUCUGCUGUCGUGGUAUGUGAUUGGUGGUGGUGGUAAGUGAGGAGGAAACCAAGCCAUCGACCAUCAUCCCUUGACAGGGGCGAAGCUACGUUGGCGAGUUGGGGUCAGCCGACCCCGACGACUUCACAGUUGCACCUUAUACACGUCGAUUUUCUACCAGCCAAGACCCCGGCAAAAAAACAUCGUGACCCCGGCACCCCGCACUCGGCAGCCCAAAACGCUAUGGCCCAACGAGUAUUUACUCCUCUCCUUUUGUCAAUACUCAAUAGUCAUCAACGAAAAUACGAAACGCAUGCAGUCCAACCUGUACUAGCAUACCACGUCCACACCAGAAGCCCAUAUUUGUACGUUCUGCCUGUUGGACGUCAGGGGUGGAGGCUAGCAAGUAGCAAGUAGCAGCAACCCAAAAGGCCAAAAGUCUUUUGUCUCUUGAUCCAGGGUUCAGGCGGCUAGCAGAACAACAAUCUGACGAUUGCUCUCCCGGCGGCGUUAUUUGCUAGUUUGCUUCGUCAAAACUGUGCUGUGCGUCUCCCCGAUGCGGCGACGUCCCUACUGCCUACUCCCUUCCACUCCAUAGUUCCACUCUUCCCUUCCACUCUUCCAGGCUUCCUCGGUCAAUCGUUCUCUCAAGUGAUCAAGUCUCAACCUCGGAUUUUCUCGCGGUGUUCGCCUGUUCGGCAUCAAAUUCCAAGGCUGCUGGUCUGGAUAAGCUGAUGAGUUACAUAUAACCAGAGGCAAGCACCAAGCAGUUAGUCUCCACAUUUUUUGCUCGUGACUUUGGUUCAAGCAGAGAGGUUGUCGUUGCUCUUAUUCAAGGAAAUGUCAAGCAACCAAAGCAAGUUGGAACGAUUCUUGAAAAGGAAAAUACCCCCAGCCAAUGAUAAUGACAAUCUAGAAGGAUGCACUUCAAGAAGGGAUGACAAUACAUCAAAUAUCAAUCGUCCUAUUCAUUGUUCUUCACGAGUCCCACAACAUGAGGUAAAUUUUGAUGAACUUCCAUAUGAUCCAGCUGACAGAAGGAGAAUAUCAGAUUAUAUAGGCCCUGAUCUACAAGAUGACAUAAGGCGAAAGUAUUUGACUAGAGGUCCUUGUAGACCGCCACCUGGUUUUAAGUUUCCACAAACGAUCAUAGCAGGUCAUCCCCGUCGGUGUCAAGCUGAAUGGUUCACUACAUAUGGCUGGUUAGAGUAUAGUGAGAAGGUGGAUAAGUGUUUUUGUUUACAAUGUUACUUGUUCAGAGAUUUCAACAAAGGCCAAGGUGGGAAUGAUGCAUUUGUAAUAAAUGGUUGGGAUGGCUGGAACAAAUCUGAUAGGCUUCGAGAUCAUGUCGGCAACAAAUGCAAUAGUUUUCAUAACACGGCUGUGAAGAGAUGUGACAAUCUUUUGAAGCCUGGACAAUCUAUUGGAAAUGUUUUUAACAAACAGACCACUGUCAGUAAAGAGGAACAUCUGAUUAGAUUAAAGACUUCCAUCAAAGCUGUUCGUUACUUGUUGCAUCAACUUGCAGAUAUGAUUGCUUGAACCCAAUUAUUGACUUACAACUUGCAGAGUUUAAUGAUCGUUUUAAUGAGGUGAACUCUCAUUUGCUUACUCAAAUUGCUGCUUUCAACCCCAAGAAUUCUUUUGAGGCCUUCAAAGUUGAGAGUUUAAUAGAGUUGGCUAAGUCAUACCCUGAUGAUUUUGAUUCAACACAAUUGAAGGAUCUUAGUCGUGAGCUUAACUUUUUCAUUGAUAAUGUGCGAGCUGAUGAAAGAUUUUCUAGCUUGAUCUCUAAUUCUGCACUUGCAAGGCUGAUGGUGGAUACAACAAAACAUACGAGUUUUCCUUUGGUCUAUCGACUUCUCAAGCUAGUACUGGUUCUUCCAAUCGCCACUGCAUCGGUUGAGAGGUGCUUUUCAGCGAUGAAAAUUGUGAAGACAAUGUUAAGAAAUCGUAUUGGAGAUGGAUUUAUGAAUGAUUGUAUCAUAUGCUUCGUGGAACCAGGAUUUCUAGCCACAAUUCCAACUGAUGAUGUGAUAGUUCGCUUUCAUAAGAUGGAGGACCGUACCCGUAGAGGAAAAAUAUAGAAGUUCAACCCGUACUGGACUACUGGCUAGUAGCCUUGCAAGUAGAUGAGCAUCUGAUGAUUGGAUACCAUGCCGCUGGCGCUGGCGUUGGACGCUCCGGCCGGUGAGUUGUUUACUACGAGCUACUAGUACGACACAACGGCAGGUCCAGCUCGAAGAGCGUUGCGGAAUGCACUUGUAUUCCAGAGAGCGCAAAGAGUGAACUGUGUGACGACAGUCAGAGGCCAUGGAACCGAGAGUGGGAAUAAACUAAUAACGGUUGAUGAUGUUGUUGCAUUCCACUUCUUCUGAGAAAAAAAGGAAGCGGUGGUCGCGUGUGAUUACUGUACUGUACUCUACUUAUUAGUGGGCUACAGCUACUGCUAUAGCGCUUCGCUUGUCCCUGGGUCCUGUACUGUACGUGAGUAGGCUGCGACGCCAGUCCUACC
Long non-coding RNA from Zea mays, 2685 nucleotides. RefSeq lists it as uncharacterized. NCBI's taxonomy places the organism in Eukaryota, Viridiplantae, Streptophyta, Magnoliopsida, Poales, Poaceae. The record is from RefSeq and is a predicted model, not a curated record. The transcript has 4 exons.